This 553-nucleotide ribosomal RNA is filed under the name uncultured bacterium. RNAcentral's name for it is "partial 16S ribosomal RNA". It matches the Rfam family "Bacterial small subunit ribosomal RNA", at positions 356 to 900 of the family's 1533-position model. The record is from RNAcentral.
UAGGAAUCUUCCACAAUGGACGCAAGUCUGAUGGAGCAACGCCGCGUGAGUGAAGAAGGUUUUCGGACCGUAAAGCUCUGUUGUUGGUGAAGAAGGAUAGAGGUAGUAACUGGCCUUUAUUUGACGGUAAUCAACCAGAAAGUCACGGCUAACUACGUGCCAGCAGCCGCGGUAAUCGUAGGUGGCAAGCGUUGUCCGGAUUUAUUGGGCGUAAAGCGAGCGCAGGCGGAAGAAUAAGUCUGAUGUGAAAGCCCUCGGCUUAACCGAGGAAUUGCAUCGGAAACUGUUUUUCUUGAGUGCAGAAGAGGAGAGUAGAACUCCAUGUGUAGCGGUGGAAUGCGUAGAUAUAUGGAAGAAUACCAGUGGCGAAGGCGGCUCUCUGGUCUGCAACUGACGCUGAGGCUCGAAAGCAUGGGUAGCGAACAGGAUUAGAUACCCUGGUAGUCCAUGCCGUAAACGAUGAGUGCUAAGUGUUGGGAGGCCUCCGCCUCUCAGUGCUGCAGCUAACGCAUUAAGCACUCCGCCUGGGGGAGUACGACCGCAAGGUUGAAAC